UACGAAGGGUGCAAGCGUUGCUCGGAAUUAUUGGGCGUAAAGGGUAGGUAGGUGGUUACGUAUGUCUGAGGUGAAAUCCCUAAGCUUAACUUAGGACGUGCCUUGGAAACGGCGUAACUAGAGUGCUGGAGAGGUUCGUAGAAUUCCCGGUGUAGCGGUGAAAUGCGUAGAGAUCGGGAGGAAUACCAGAGGCGAAGGCGGCGAACUGGACAGUUACUGACACUCAACUACGAAAGCGUGGGGAGCAAACAGG
RNAcentral lists this ribosomal RNA (253 nucleotides) under uncultured bacterium. RNAcentral describes it as "partial 16S ribosomal RNA". It matches the Rfam family "Bacterial small subunit ribosomal RNA", at positions 524 to 776 of the family's 1533-position model. The record is from RNAcentral.